UACGGAGGAUGCGAGCGUUAUCCGGAUUUAUUGGGUUUAAAGGGUGCGUAGGCGGGCUUUUAAGUCAGCGGUAAAAAUUCGGGGCUCAACCCCGUCCGGCCGUUGAAACUGGGGGCCUUGAGUGGGCGAGAAGAAGGCGGAAUGCGUGGUGUAGCGGUGAAAUGCAUAGAUAUCACGCAGAACCCCGAUUGCGAAGGCUGCCUUCCGGCGCCCUACUGACGCUGAGGCACGAAAGUGCGGGGAUCGAACAGG
This 252-nucleotide ribosomal RNA is filed under the name uncultured bacterium. Its description in RNAcentral is "partial 16S ribosomal RNA". It matches the Rfam family "Bacterial small subunit ribosomal RNA", at positions 524 to 776 of the family's 1533-position model. The record is from RNAcentral.